UCACAGCCCCCACCCCACUGGAUAGUUGCAAGGCCUGAGGGGAACAGGAUGCAUAUGGAGCAUUUCAUGUGGGGCCUGGAACACAGUAGAGCUCAUGGAGUCUUCUCUUCCAGCAGGACUGCCAGGACCAGAGGCCACACAGGCUUCUAGUUCAGACUCUUCAGCCUCCAACACAGACCCUCUGGCUUCCCAGUAUAAAUUUUGAAGGUACUCUGCAGUGAGCUCCAGCACUCUUGCACUUUUGCCUGGAUCAUGCAGCUCUCCAGUACACCGACGGCCCUUUGCAUUCUUCCAUACCUGUCUCCGCAGGUGCCCACUGCAAGCCUACAUUGUGCCACAGGGUGAAUAGCAUUUCUUGUUCUGCCUUGGAGCCAACCAGUUCCUGAAUCCUCUGAGAACUCUGGCCUUGUGGCCUCUUCGUACAGCAGACUGCCUUGUGAAUGACUCUCUCAGGGAGCAUGUGCAGAAGAAGCCCAGAGCCUCACUCCAUGGGAACGGAAGAGACAGAGCUCAAGAAUGGGCUAAUAUCAGCAGCUGAAUGGAGAAGGUCAUGCUGCUUCUGGAAGCUGACACAGCUAAGCCUGUAAAUGAGCUGAUGAGAGCUCUUUCUCAGGGUUGUUCCCGAGGGCUGUGUGUACAGAGAAGGAUUGGCAGUGUAGCUUCACAUAUGAGGAACAGAGCAAGACACCAAGGCUGUUCUCCAACCACAUGUCCUCACUCAUCUGCUUUAUUCAAUUCUAUUUGUACAAAAGGUUUGAGUUAAUGGGCAGACUAUGUCUUUAGGGAUUAAGAGCUAUGCAAAUAAUACCUAAUGGAAGACUCAAUUAGCAGAUGUCCUGCCCGUGUUAUUUCCACUUGUAGGAAUAAGACCUGCUAAUAGGAAGAAUGAAUCAUUCUCACCAUAUUUAAGCACUGAUUUUCAAAUGCCUUCUUUACCAAAAUAAUAGUCACUACACUAAAACAGGCCUGGUGGUACAUAGUAACAAAACCCACAAAUACCUUUCUAUAAAGAGAAUUAACAUAUUAUGGUUACAGUUGAAGAGCAAGUAUGAUAA
Molecule: long non-coding RNA, 1055 nt
Organism: Chinchilla lanigera (long-tailed chinchilla)
Lineage: Eukaryota; Metazoa; Chordata; Mammalia; Rodentia; Chinchillidae
Exons: 4
Source: RefSeq, a predicted model, not a curated record